GACGAACGCUGGCGGCGUGCUUAACACAUGCAAGUCGAACGGAAAGGCCCUGCUUUUGUGGGGUGCUCGAGUGGCGAACGGGUGAGUAACACGUGAGUAACCUGCCCUUGACUUUGGGAUAACUUCAGGAAACUGGGGCUAAUACCGGAUAGGAGCUCCUGCUGCAUGGUGGGGGUUGGAAAGUUUCGGCGGUUGGGGAUGGACUCGCGGCUUAUCAGCUUGUUGGUGGGGUAGUGGCUUACCAAGGCUUUGACGGGUAGCCGGCCUGAGAGGGUGACCGGCCACAUUGGGACUGAGAUAAGGCCCAGACUCCUACGGGAGGCAGAAGUGGGGAAUAUUGAACAAUGGGCGGAAGCCUGAUGCAGCAACGCCGCGUGCGGGAUGACGGCCUUCGGGUUGUAAACCGCUUUCGCCUGUGACGAAGCGUGAGUGACGGUAAUGGGUAAAGAAGCACCGGCUAACUACGUG
This 468-nucleotide ribosomal RNA is filed under the name uncultured bacterium. RNAcentral's name for it is "partial 16S ribosomal RNA". It matches the Rfam family "Bacterial small subunit ribosomal RNA", at positions 28 to 507 of the family's 1533-position model. The record is from RNAcentral.